AUUGAACGCUGGCGGCAGGCCUAACACAUGCAAGUCGAGCGGAGCGGCGGACGGGUGAGUACUGCCUAGGAAUCUGCCUGGUAGUGGGGGAUACCGUCCGGAAACGGGCGCUCAUCUCGCAUAAUAUCAGAUCCGCCUCGGUCGGCUUAGCUAGUUGGUGGGGUAAAGGCCUACCAAGUCGACGAUCCGUAACGGGUCUGAGAGGAUGAUCAGUCACACUGGAACUGAGAAACGGUCCAGACUCCUACGGGAGGCAGCAGUGGGGAAUAUUGGACAAUGGGCGAAAGCCUGAUCCAGCCAUGCCGCGUGUGUGAAGAAGGUCUUCGGAGUGUAAAGCACUUUAAGUUGGGAGGCGUUACCAACAGAAUAAGCACCGGCUAACUUCGUGCCAGCAGCCGCGGUAAUAC
Molecule: ribosomal RNA, 407 nt
Filed under: uncultured bacterium
Lineage: Bacteria
Description: partial 16S ribosomal RNA
Rfam family: Bacterial small subunit ribosomal RNA
Source: RNAcentral